AUUGAACGCUGGCGGCAUGCCUUACACAUGCAAGUCGAACGGCAGCACGGGAGCAAUCCUGGUGGCGAGUGGCGAACGGGUGAGUAAUAUAUCGGAACGUGCCCAGUCGUGGGGAUAACGUAGCGAAAGCUACGCUAAUACCGCAUACGAUCUAUGGAUGAAAGCGGGGGAUCGCAAGACCUCGCGCGAUUGGAGCGGCCGAUAUCAGAUUAGGUAGUUGGUGAGGUAAAGGCUCACCAAGCCGACGAUCUGUAGCUGGUCUGAGAGGACGACCAGCCACAAUGGGACUGAGACACGGCCCAGACUCCUACGGGAGGCAGCAGUGGGGAAUUUUGGACAAUGGGCGCAAGCCUGAUCCAGCAAUGCCGCGUGCAGGAUGAAGGCCUUCGGUUGGUUAACGUAG
This 403-nucleotide ribosomal RNA is filed under the name uncultured bacterium. Its description in RNAcentral is "bacterial SSU rRNA". It matches the Rfam family "Bacterial small subunit ribosomal RNA", at positions 30 to 435 of the family's 1533-position model. The record is from RNAcentral.